AAGAGUUCAUUGUCAAUGGCAGAGGUCGCUUCUGUGCCUCUACAUGGAAGGCUAUCCCUUGGACCUGUUCAUAUUCAACAGAUUGGAGAACUGUCAAAAACAAGGGCCAGUGUUUGUAAAGAACUGCAGAUUGUUAUGGAGGGUCGUUCUGCCGUCUUGACCCUUUGGGGGAGAGAGAGAGAGAGAGAGCAGAACAAUCCUCCAUAAUUUUAGGAGCACUUACAACAUAUGGAAUAUCAAAGCAAAUGAAUUUCGUGGCCAGAGGGCCUACAAUUCAACACCAUCAACAACAUUUGAGAUGGCUGAGGAAAUUGCGGUAAAGGCUGACAAUUUUGAGGGUGAAAUUGAAUCUGUCUCCUUUGAAAGGAAAAUAUAUAUAGUCUGAAAAGUAAUCUGGUAGAGAUGUUGGGUGAUAUUGAACAAAGAGAAUCCCUCUUCCCCAAUAACAAAAAUUGUCCAGGGAAAGAGAGUACAGGGGAGGGAAAGUAAAGGGGAGAUCAUGGAAAUCACAGUCAAACAAAAUAAAAAGAAGUAGAAAAAUGGAUCAUUUUUGUAUAUAUUGAUUUAAUUCAAAUUCUUCACAUUGUGAAUUAUCCAGGCCCCAGGAUGGAUCAUGAAAAUCAUAAUCUUAAUACAAAAUCUUUAUGUUGUAAAAAGUAUAAUUGUAGAUGUCUUAUAUGUAGAGAGUUAAAUAUAUUAAAAAAAAAAUAAAAUUGA
Molecule: long non-coding RNA, 717 nt
Organism: Saccostrea cuccullata (small rock oyster)
Lineage: Eukaryota; Metazoa; Mollusca; Bivalvia; Ostreida; Ostreidae
Exons: 5
Source: RefSeq, a predicted model, not a curated record